This 23-nucleotide transfer RNA is filed under the name Urtica fissa. Its description in RNAcentral is "partial tRNA-Gly". Lineage: Eukaryota; Viridiplantae; Streptophyta; Magnoliopsida; Rosales; Urticaceae. The record is from RNAcentral.
GCGGGUAUAGUUUAGUGGURAAA